CCCUGUCCUUCACGUUUUGGUUCUAUUUAUAGUCUCUAGUCGUCGGAAUUUUAGGUGAUUGCGAUCUCAUGAUAUUGUUCUUCCUUUUUUGGUUGAGUCCACUUUCCUUCUGUGGGUAUACACCCCGAAUAUCUGCUGCCCUUGAUUGACUGAAUUGAAUUUCUCAAUUACAGCCUAAUAACCUCUAUUUGAUUGAGCUUGAUUGAUUCUCGGACUUGUGGGUGUAACAAUUAUGCCCACCGGAUGAAAUUCACCUUGUCCUCAAGGCGGAAGUCUGAAAACUGGGAAUGAAAAUCAUCUCUGUCCAUCCAAGUUGAUUCAUCCAAGCUGGGUCUCUUGUGGAGUCGUGGCCGUCAGUUCUCCACCCUCAGCUUCUAGAGCCUCAAAAUCGACCAAGCUGAUACUGUCUCCAUCUGCUGCUGCAAUCAAAGUCCGAAGCUCUCCGUUUGGGCACUCAUGCAAGGGCGAGUAGGGCUGAUGACAACAAAAGCAGAGGCCCUUAUUGCGAAGCUUGGUGUAUUCCUGAUUGCUGAGUCGCCUAGUGCCCCAGUGCCGAGGAGGAAGCGGAGCAGGCUGAGAUUUGUAGCCACUUCGGUCAGCCACUGGUGGCUUACGAUCUGCGGCUCGAGUUGGUGGCCCUAAGAUACUAUUGGGCUAGGUAGCAUGCAGCAUUGAGGGUGACGACCAAUUCGAGGUUGCGGAUGAGGUGGGCAACCGAUGCGGGGCCAGCGCGAAGCUAACACUCGACUUUGCUGGCGGUUGACGACUGUCGGAGCCUCCGUCGGCAAAUCGCAAUUCCGCCUCGAGGUGGCGGGCCAACUCCAUAGCCCGAUCGAGAUCUCCAAGGUCGUAGGUGCGGAGCCUCACUCGAAUAGCCUCUAUCAAUCCAUUCAAAAAAAAAUCCAGGCAAUAUUGGUCAUUUAAAUCGGGGACUUGGCUUACCAAAUCAAUGAAUGCGAAGAUGUACAUCUCGACUGUGGAGGUUUGUCGAAGUGCCGCCAGUCGCUCGAAGGGAUUACCCACGUGUCUUCCGUCAUAUUGCUAAAUAAGCUCGACGAUUAACAUUCUACAUGUCAGCUGCGGUUUUCGUUAUCGGAGCCAGCGAAAUCAGUGAAGGGCGUGGCCCUCCAUGCUUAUCAUGGCGAGGGUGACUUUCUGAUUUUCUUUUGUCUGAUUCACCUCAAAAAAUUUCUCUGCCCUUGCAAUACAGCCGAUUGGAUCCAAUCCGUCGAAGAUAGAAAUUUCAAUUUUCUGAGGUAAAGAAGUUGCAUCAGAAGAGAAAUCAGAGGAAUUAGAGGCAGUUACCUUCGAUGGUGAAGUGGGAGUAUAGACCGAGAGGGGAGAUACGGGGUCUGGUUCAUCUGCAACAAUUGUCUUGCCUUUAAUAAAGGUAGCAAGACUGGCCAUGGUGGCCUUUAAGUGUGCAAAAUGCUCAUCGAAUUUCUAUCCAUUGCCUUGCAGAUUUCAAUGUGUUGAUUCUCCAAUUUCGCCUCGAGUGCUGCGACCGUUCUCUCCAACAAUUCAACCCUGGUCUCCAUUUAGGUUCAUGGCAUGAACAAGAAAAAAAUAAAAGCCAGCAGUAUCGAAUCAAUUUGUUGAAGUAAGAAUGGGAUCUUUUAUAGAAUCAAUAAGAAACAGUACGACUAUGGUUUCAAGAAACAGAAUGACAAGAACACCAGGAGACAAUCUCCAGACCAGGCCUAAAGAUCGAACAAAGCUAUUUGGUAAAAUCUAGAUUCUCUAUCCUUCACAUUCUGAUUCUAUUUACAGUCUCCAGUCAUCAGAAUUUUAGGUGAUUACAAUCCCAUGAUAUUAUUCUUUCUUAUUUGGUUGAGUCCACUUACACCUUGAAUAUAUAGAAUCAAUAAGAAACAGUACAACUAUGGUUUCAAGAAACAGAAUGACAAGAACACCAGAGAAAAAUCUCCAGACCAAGCCUAAAGGCCGAACAAAGCUAUUUGGUAAAGUCUGGGUUUCCUGUCCUUCAUAUUCUGGUUCUAUUUAUAGUCUCCAAUCAUCAAAUUUUAGGUGAUUGCGAUCCCAUGAUAUUAUUCUUCCUUAUUUGGUUGAGUCCACUUUCCUUCUGCGGGUAUACACCUUGAAUAUCUGCUGCCCUUGAUUGACUAAAUUGAUUUUCUCAUUUGCAGCCUGAUAGCCUCUAUUUGAUUGAGCUUGAUUGAUUCCUUGACUUGUAGGUGUAACAUGUUUCUUGUGUUAUGAAGUGAAAACAUAAUAAAAGCAGGAAUUGGGGUAACAUUCUUGGUAUACUUGUUGCCAAUACUAGAAGCUAAUGCUUGAACAUAUAAAUUAUACAUCAGAGAGAUUUUUUAAAAAAAUGUCU
This 2341-nucleotide long non-coding RNA is filed under the name Elaeis guineensis (African oil palm). RNAcentral describes it as "long non-coding RNA (EGUI_LNC039254)". The record is from RNAcentral. Lineage: Eukaryota; Viridiplantae; Streptophyta; Magnoliopsida; Arecales; Arecaceae.